This 432-nucleotide ribosomal RNA is filed under the name Triticum aestivum (bread wheat). RNAcentral describes it as "partial small subunit ribosomal RNA". Lineage: Eukaryota; Viridiplantae; Streptophyta; Magnoliopsida; Poales; Poaceae. The record is from RNAcentral.
AUGCACCCGCAAUCCCCGCUCUUUCCGGCUCCACUCCUUCGUCCUCCUCGGAACCGCCCCUCCCGCUCCCACUCCCUCUCGCCUCGAUCUCCUCCCCACCCCACUCCACCAGGCGCACAAGUCACGCCAAUAAAAACCUCUCUUCAUCCCCCGACACCUGGUUCACAAGAGGCAACGCCGACGACGAAAUCGCCGGCUGACACCUUGCCGGGUUUCUAUUGCUACAAUCAGAGAAUGACCAUCGGCUGCUUCGAUCCGACGAUCCCAUCCGUGACUCGAAGCGCAGCGGCCAGCACCUUCCAGCGUCUGAGUGUCACAGUGCCGGAAAAAGCAGGACAGGCAGCAGCUCAACGCAUCCGCAUGGCCAUGCUGUGCAAGUCCCUGAAAAUUUGUUCCGAGGGAAGCACUGAGGGCGCUGGCUUGGUCGUGUAG